CCUACGUGAGGCAGCAGUGAGGAAUAUUGGUCAAUGGGCUUACGCCUGAACCAGCCAAGUCGCGUGAGGGAAGACUGCCCUAUGGGUUGUAAACCUCUUUUGUCAGGGAGCAACGCCGGCUACGUGUAGCCGGACUGAGAGUACCUGAAGCAAAAGCCUCGGCUAACUCCGUGCCAGCAGCCGCGGUAAUACGGAGGAUGCGAGCGUUAUCCGGAUUUAUUGGGUUUAAAGGGUGCGUAGGCGGAAUGCCAAGUCAGCGGUAAAAUCGCGGGGCUCAACCUCGCUCCGCCGUUGAAACUGGCGUUCUUGAGUGGGCGAGAAGUAUGCGGAAUGCGUGGUGUAGCGGUGAAAUGCAUAGAUAUCACGCAGAACUCCGAUUGCGAAGGCAGCAUACCGGCGCCCAACUGACGCUGAAGCACGAAAGCGUGGGUAUCGAACAGGAUUAGAUACCCUGGUAGUC
RNAcentral lists this ribosomal RNA (460 nucleotides) under uncultured bacterium. Its description in RNAcentral is "partial 16S ribosomal RNA". It matches the Rfam family "Bacterial small subunit ribosomal RNA", at positions 338 to 795 of the family's 1533-position model. The record is from RNAcentral.